CGUGCCCUAACACAUGACAAGUCGAACGAAGCAUAUUUAACGGAGAUUCGUCGAAGCUGGAUAUGACUUAGUGGCGGACGGGUGAGUAAUGGUAUGAGCAACCUGCCUUUCAGAGGGGGACAACAGUUGGAAACGACUGCUAAUACCGCAUAAUGUAUUUGGGUGGCAUCACCUGGAUACCAAAGGAGCAAUCCGCUGAAAGAUGGGCUCAUAUCUGAUUAGCUUGUUGGCGGGGUAACGGCCCACCAAGGCGACGAUCAGUAGCCGGACUGAGAGGUUGAACGGCCACAUUGGGACUGAGAUACGGCCCAGACUCCUACGGGAGGCAGCAGUGGGGAAUAUUGGGCAAUGGGCGAAAGCCUACGACCCAGCAACGCCGCGUGAAGGAAGAAGGUCUUCGGAUUGUAAACUUCUUUUAUGAGGGACGAAGGACGUGACGGUACCUCAUGAAUAAGCCACGGCUAACUACGUGCCAGCAGCGGC
RNAcentral lists this ribosomal RNA (483 nucleotides) under uncultured bacterium. Its description in RNAcentral is "bacterial SSU rRNA". It matches the Rfam family "Bacterial small subunit ribosomal RNA", at positions 43 to 518 of the family's 1533-position model. The record is from RNAcentral.